This 856-nucleotide ribosomal RNA is filed under the name uncultured bacterium. RNAcentral describes it as "bacterial SSU rRNA". It matches the Rfam family "Bacterial small subunit ribosomal RNA", at positions 651 to 1504 of the family's 1533-position model. The record is from RNAcentral.
GAAGAGGACAGUGGAACUCCAUGUGUAGCGGUGGAAUGCGUAGAUAUAUGGAAGAACACCAGUGGCGAAGGCGGCUGUCUAGUCUGUAACUGACGCUGAGGCUCGAAAGCAUGGGUAGCGAACAGGAUUAGAUACCCUGGUAGUCCAUGCCGUAAACGAUGAGUGCUAAGUGUUGGAGGGUUUCCGCCCUUCAGUGCUGCAGCUAACGCAUUAAGCACUCCGCCUGGGGAGUACGACCGCAAGGUUGAAACUCAAAGGAAUUGACGGGGGCCCGCACAAGCGGUGGAGCAUGUGGUUUAAUUCGAAGCUACGCGAAGAACCUUACCAGGUCUUGAUAUCUUCUGCCAAUCUUAGAGAUAAGACGUUCCCUUCGGGGACAGAAUGACAGGUGGUGCAUGGUUGUCGUCAGCUCGUGUCGUGAGAUGUUGGGUUAAGUCCCGCAACGAGCGCAACCCUUAUUAUCAGUUGCCAGCAUUCAGUUGGGCACUCUGGUGAGACUGCCGGUGACAAACCGGAGGAAGGUGGGGAUGACGUCAAAUCAUCAUGCCCCUUAUGACCUGGGCUACACACGUGCUACAAUGGUCGGUACAACGUGCUGCGAACUCGCGAGGGCAAGCAAAUCACUUAAAACCGAUCUCAGUUCGGAUUGUAGGCUGCAACUCGCCUACAUGAAGCUGGAAUCGCUAGUAAUCGCGGAUCAGCAUGCCGCGGUGAAUACGUUCCCGGGCCUUGUACACACCGCCCGUCACACCAUGAGAGUUUGUAACACCCAAAGCCGGUGGGGUAACCCUUCGGGGAGCUAGCCGUCUAAGGUGGGACAAAUGAUUAGGGUGAAGUCGUAANCAAGGUAGCCGUA